GAAAUCGUUGUGGCUCAGACACAAGAAGAAGAAGAGCCAACAGAAAGCUUCUGCCUGGUACAACCAAUUGAAAUUGGCCAAGUCAUCAGCCAAG
Long non-coding RNA from Xenopus laevis (African clawed frog), 94 nucleotides. RefSeq lists it as uncharacterized. The record is from RefSeq and is a predicted model, not a curated record. NCBI's taxonomy places the organism in Eukaryota, Metazoa, Chordata, Amphibia, Anura, Pipidae. The transcript has 3 exons.